UUGAACGCUGGCGGCAUGCCUUACACGUGCCAGUCGGACGGCAGCACGGGUGCUUGCACCUGGUGGCGGGUGGCGAACGGGUGAGUAAUACAUCGGAACAUGUCCUGUAGUGGGGGAUAGCCCGGCGAAAGCCGGAUUAAUACCGCAUACGAUCUACGGAUGAAGGCGGGGGACCUUCGGGCCUCGCGCUAUAGGGUUGGCCGAUAGCUGAUUAGCUAGUUGGUGGGGUAAAGGCCUACCAAGGCGACGAUCAGUAGCUGGUCUGAGAGGACGACCAGCCACACUGGGACUGAGACACGGCCCAGACUCCUACGGGAGGCAGCAGUGGGGAAUUUUGGACAAUGGGCGAAAGCCUGAUCCAGCAAUGCCGCGUGUGUGAAGAAGGCCUUCGGGUUGUAAAGCACUUUUGUCCGGAAAGAAAUCCUUGGCUCUAAUACAGUCGGGGGAUGACGGUACCGGAAGAAUAAGCACCGGCUAACUACGUG
RNAcentral lists this ribosomal RNA (485 nucleotides) under uncultured bacterium. Its description in RNAcentral is "partial 16S ribosomal RNA". It matches the Rfam family "Bacterial small subunit ribosomal RNA", at positions 30 to 507 of the family's 1533-position model. The record is from RNAcentral.